UUGAUAUUCUUUGGAGGGGAGA
This 22-nucleotide non-coding RNA is filed under the name Gossypium hirsutum (cotton). The record is from RNAcentral. Lineage: Eukaryota; Viridiplantae; Streptophyta; Magnoliopsida; Malvales; Malvaceae.